AGUGAACGCUGGCGGUAGGCCUAACACAUGCAAGUCGAACGGCAGCACAGUAAGAGCUUGCUCUUACGGGUGGCGAGUGGCGGACGGGUGAGGAAUACAUCGGAAUCUACUUUUUCGUGGGGGAUAACGUAGGGAAACUUACGCUAAUACCGCAUACGACCUACGGGUGAAAGCAGGGGAUCUUCGGACCUUGCGCGAUUGAAUGAGCCGAUGUCGGAUUAGCUAGUUGGCGGGGUAAAGGCCCACCAAGGCGACGAUCCGUAGCUGGUCUGAGAGGAUGAUCAGCCACACUGGAACUGAGGCAAGGUCCAGACUCCUACGGGAGGCAGCAGUGGGGAAUAUUGGACAAUGGGCGCAAGCCUGAUCCAGCCAUACCGCGUGGGUGAAGAAGGCCUUCGGGUUGUAAAGCCCUUUUGUUGGGAAAGAAAAGCAGCAGGUUAAUACCCCGCUAUUCUGACGGUACCCAAAGAAUAAGCACCGGCUAACUUCGUG
RNAcentral lists this ribosomal RNA (492 nucleotides) under uncultured bacterium. RNAcentral's name for it is "partial 16S ribosomal RNA". It matches the Rfam family "Bacterial small subunit ribosomal RNA", at positions 29 to 507 of the family's 1533-position model. The record is from RNAcentral.